Oreochromis aureus is the source of this 1062-nucleotide long non-coding RNA. RefSeq lists it as uncharacterized. The record is from RefSeq and is a predicted model, not a curated record. The transcript has 3 exons. NCBI's taxonomy places the organism in Eukaryota, Metazoa, Chordata, Actinopteri, Cichliformes, Cichlidae.
AUACAUUAUAGAGUCCGUUGCUCGUGCUGACCAAGCUGCCAUUUUUCUCUUUUUGCCUCUUUCAAUGGCUGCAUCAAGUUCAGGUGGACCCUCUAAACCGCAGUACAGGGAUUUGAGGUUCAAACUGCAAAAGUAUCUACAAGGAUGCCAGAGCCUUACUCCUGAUGGCCAGUGGUGAUGAUAACAUAUUAAGCAAUGGCAGAUUCCAGGCACAUAACGGUACCAUUAAUAAGGAGGCAGUUCUAUGAAAGAUUGCUAACAAAGCUUCAUGGAGCUCUACAACGCAGACCUGUAGAUAUGGACUAUUUGCAUUAUGUCAUCACUCAUGAAUUGAGACUUAUACGGUCAUUUGGUAAUAUUUUAGCAGUACCACAAGAUAUUCUUAAUGCCUUAUCCAAUCUUUUGAGACUGAUAAAUUUUCAAGACAGAGAGAGACACCCACAUUCUUCUCUUGUUGAUGUUGUAUACACAGCAAGAGGACAACGUAAACUUAGUAUAUCAGAAGAAUCUUUGCAAAGCCUCAUCAACAUGAAAUUUUCCAUUCCCAGUAUAGCUCGGCUUCUGGGUGUCAGCAAAAGGACAUUAUUUCGUCGGAUGCAAGAGUAUGGACUUUCAGUGCAUGCAUCAUAUAGCAGUGUCACAGAUGAUGAGCUGGACAGCCUUGUUAGAUCAGUUAAAAUGAGACUGCCACACAUUGGCUAUCGAAUGAUGAUGGGGGAACUGCAGGCCAUGGGAUACCGUGUCAGAUGGGAGCAAGUGUCUGCAUCGAUGCAUAGGGUAGAUGCUGCAGGAAUCCUAGAAAGGAUGGCAUCUGUCGGCUGUGUUGCAAGAAGAAUGUACUCUGUAAAAGGUCCCCUCUCAUUGGUUCAUGUAGAUACAAACCACAAACUCAUCAGGUUUGUGUACAGUACGUGUAUGUUCAGUACUCUGGAUACCCUGUAACUAUUUUCAUUUCUGAUUUGAGCAUAAGGCAUUUUACGUUAACAGUUAGAGGAUCCAGGUAAAUUUCUAUUUCUACAAAGUAAAAAAAAUGUUCCUGUUUAGUAAGCAAAGAAACAAACA